RNAcentral lists this long non-coding RNA (330 nucleotides) under Elaeis guineensis (African oil palm). RNAcentral describes it as "long non-coding RNA (EGUI_LNC016405)". Lineage: Eukaryota; Viridiplantae; Streptophyta; Magnoliopsida; Arecales; Arecaceae. The record is from RNAcentral.
CUUUUCUGUAUUUAUUUAAAAGCAUAGUGUAGUAAACAUUCCUAUUAAGUACUAGAUAACAUUUAGAAAUAACAUAGAAGCAACAGAUACCCAUAGGUACCGCAAAUAUGAUGAACAACCUUAUCACCAAAUGAUAUAUUAAUAAUAAAUAUUUCAAUCGUAUAAUUUGAUCACAUAGUCUAAAUUACUAAAGCAAUACUAUAAGAUAUCGAAGCCCGCUUAAAAUGUGCUCUAAAGAAAAUAUAGAUUCUGCAACAUCAAGAACUUUGGGAGCAAAUAAAAAUAGUGUUCAUCCUUCAGCUUCAAUAAAUCAACAUGUCGCUGCUCAAG